This 211-nucleotide non-coding RNA is filed under the name Bacteroidota bacterium. The record is from RNAcentral. Lineage: Bacteria; Pseudomonadati; Bacteroidota.
ACUUUUACUCGCGAUACUGGUUACCAAUAUUUAAUAUAUAAGUAUUGAUUUAAAAGGGAAUUUGGUGAAAGGCCAAAACUGUACCCGCAACUGUAUGCUUAGUCUGUUUUUAGCAGAUGUUUAUUGUUAAACUUUGUACCACUGUUCGUAAGAAUGGGAAGGUGAACAAUAAAACGCAAGUCAGGAUACCUGCCAUUAUCAUUUGAAUAAC